Molecule: ribosomal RNA, 292 nt
Filed under: uncultured bacterium
Lineage: Bacteria
Description: partial 16S ribosomal RNA
Rfam family: Bacterial small subunit ribosomal RNA
Source: RNAcentral
GUGUCAGCCGCCGCGGUAAGACGAGCCUCACGAACGUUAUUCGGAAUUACUGGGCUUAAAGGGUGCGUAGGCGGCGUGGAAAGUUGGGUGUGAAAUCCCUCGGCUUAACCGAGGAACUGCGCCCAAAACUGUCAUGCUCGAGGAAGAUAGAGGUGAGCGGAACUUACGGUGGAGCGGUGAAAUGCGUUGAUAUCGUAAGGAACACCCGUGGCGAAAGCGGCUCACUGGGUCUUUUCUGACGCUGAUGCACGAAAGCUAGGGGAGCAAACGGGAUUAGAUACCCUCGUAGUCC